Molecule: ribosomal RNA, 567 nt
Filed under: uncultured Glomeromycotina
Lineage: Eukaryota; Fungi; Glomeromycota
Description: LSU rRNA
Rfam family: Eukaryotic large subunit ribosomal RNA
Source: RNAcentral
AGGAGUCUAACAUAUAUGCGAGGGUUUGGGUGACAAAACCCAUGCGCGUAAUGAAAGUAAUUUAGGUGGGAACGCAUUUCGUGUGCACCAUCGACCGAUCAGGAUAUUUUUUGAUAGAUUUGAGUAAGAGCAUAUCUGUUGGGACCCGAAAGAUGGUGAACUAUGCCUGAAUAGGGCGAAGUCAGAGGAAACUCUGAUGGAGGCUCGUAGCGGUUCUGACGUGCAAAUCGAUCGUCAAAUUUGGGUAUAGGGGCGAAAGACUAAUCGAACCAUCUAGUAGCUGGUUCCUGCCGAAGUUUCCCUCAGGAUAGCAGAAACUCGAUAACAGUUUUAUGAGGUAAAGCGAAUGAUUAGAGGCCUUAGGGUUGAAACAGCCUUAACCUAUUCUCAAACUUUAAAUAUGUAAGAAGUUUAUAGUUGCUUAAUUGAACUUGAACAUUCGAAUGAGAGUUUCUAGUGGGCCAUUUUUGGUAAGCAGAACUGGCGAUGCGGGAUGAACCGAACGUAAGGUUAAGGUGCCAAAAUUUACGCUCAUUUAGAUACCACAAAAGGUGUUAGUUCAUCUAG